Geospiza fortis (medium ground-finch) is the source of this 1590-nucleotide long non-coding RNA. The record is from Ensembl. Lineage: Eukaryota; Metazoa; Chordata; Aves; Passeriformes; Thraupidae.
GCUCAGGCUGUGCAGAACUGCAGCAUCAUGUAAUUCCAUGGCGCAUUCCUGUGGUUCCUGCCCGUCUCCAGCUAGGUUUGUUUUUUUUUCCCAAAGCAACAGAAUUUUUUUCCCUUAAAAAAACAAGAUAUCAAAAACCAAGGUUGUUUUUUUUUUUUGUUUUCUAUAGCAGGAAUUUUAUAUAUAUAUAUAUUAAAAGUGCUAAAAGAUGCUUUGAUUUUUUUUUGUAAAGAAAAAAAUCUAUUUCUAUAUAAAGAAAACCAAACCAAAAAAUAGCUUUUCAGCUUCAAAUAUUUUUUAGAACUUCAGCCAAAGACAGCAAAGAACUGUGUUUACAGAGCAGCCAUGCGGGAGGAGCUUGUAGUUGAAAUGCUCCUUCCAUUGUACCUUUUUUGCCAAAGCUUUUUACAUAGGACAGGGAGAAGCGCAGCCAUACCCACUGGAGCUGCGUGCCACAGGGGCUGCUGUCCUGUCUCAAGUGGAGCACAGUGCCUUUACAACCCUUUUUUCUUGGGAUCCGAAGCCAAAAUUCCCUUUUUCUUCUCGUUUUUGAGUUGUGAUUCCUGGCGGUGCUGGCGCGGGGGCUCCCGGCAGCUCGCGGGCGAUGCCCACGUCUCUGCGUGGCCAUCGCCCCCUCCCCAGCCCCCUGCCCGCCUGCACUCCCUGCUCUAUGUACUGUAUUCCCCUUAUUCCCCAUCCAGGCACCUCUUGCCUUUUUUCUAAAUCAGCCAAGUUGUGCCUUAGCUGAGGUUGGGGUUGGGCUGGGAGCCCCACUGGAGUGGAGAUGGAGCAGGGCAAGUGAAAACACCGGAGCUGCGUUUUGGGACCAGAUGGAUUUGACAGCUGGGGUGAUGGACCUCAGUCCCACAAGCUCAGCCCCAGCAGGGCCCCCCAGGCCCCUUCUUUGAGAGCCACUGCAUCCAGAGGGGUUCAUCCCCGACUGAUCCAGAGGGGUUCAUCCCCACUGAUCCAGAGGGGUUCACCCCCACCUUCCCUCUCCUGCAGUCAUUCAGGCUCAUCUCUGGUGGCCAGAGCUCAGGAGCUGUUUCAGGGAUUCAGAGAAAGAUGUUCAGUCCAGGUCGGAGCUGGUUUGCCAGGAAAGCACCUAGGAAGGCUUUUUGUUCGAGUGAGGCAGAUUUUGGGGUCUGAUAGGUGCAGCUUCCCCCUUGGCAGGAGCCCAUCCAGCCUUUGGCAGAUCUCUUGGCUUUUUGCCUCGAUUGGGAAAUGCCUGCAGCCCCCCCUGACCUCAAGUGCAGCAGAGGGGUGGGGCUGGAGAAGGUGCCAGGACAAGCCCCCCACUCCAGUGGGUUUUGGGGAGGUUGUUAUGUAUCUAUGCUUGCAAAGCUUCUGUAUCACUGCCUGUACUUUCUUCCAGAGUCAAAAUACAGCUGAACCCUUCCCAUGCCGUGUGCUGUCAUCAUUGCUCUCCGGGGGGAUUUGGGGGUGCUGUGCUGCCCCCCCAGCAGCAAAGGGAUCCCCCCAAGGAUCUCUUUCCACCGCACAGGCAGGGCUGGGGCUCAGCACCCACUGUGGAUGGGGGGAAUGGGGUGGCUUGCUAAGAGCUGGGCCAGGAGAGGGACUGGCCAGGGG